RNAcentral lists this ribosomal RNA (465 nucleotides) under uncultured bacterium. RNAcentral describes it as "partial 16S ribosomal RNA". It matches the Rfam family "Bacterial small subunit ribosomal RNA", at positions 28 to 507 of the family's 1533-position model. The record is from RNAcentral.
GAUGAACGCUGGCGGCGUGCUUAACACAUGCAAGUCGAACGGAAAGGCUCCUGCUUGCAGGGGUACUCGAGUGGCGAACGGGUGAGUAACACGUGGGUGAUCUGCCCUGCACUUCGGGAUAAGCCUGGGAAACUGGGUCUAAUACCGGAUAGGACCACAUUUUGGAUGGGGUGGUGGAAAGUUUUUCGGUGUGGGAUGAGCUCGCGGCCUAUCAGCUUGUUGGUGGGGUAAUGGCCUACCAAGGCGUCGACGGGUAGCCGGCCUGGGAGGGUGUACGGCCACAUUGGUACUGAGAUACGGCCCAGACUCCUACGGGAGGCAGCAGUGGGGAAUAUUGCACAAUGGGCGCAAGCCUGAUGCAGCGACGCCGCGUGGGGGAUGACGGCCUUCGGGUUGUAAACUCCUUUCGCUAGGGACGAAGCGCAAGUGACGGUACCUGGAGAAGAAGCACCGGCUAACUACGUG